This 253-nucleotide ribosomal RNA is filed under the name uncultured bacterium. Its description in RNAcentral is "partial 16S ribosomal RNA". It matches the Rfam family "Bacterial small subunit ribosomal RNA", at positions 524 to 776 of the family's 1533-position model. The record is from RNAcentral.
UACGAAGGGGGCUAGCGUUGCUCGGAAUUACUGGGCGUAAAGCGUGCGCAGGCGGUUUUGUAAGCCAGGUGUGAAAUCCCCGGGCUCAACCUGGGAAUGGCAUUUGGGACUGCAAGGCUGGAGUGCGGCAGAGGAGACUGGAAUUCCUGGUGUAGCAGUGAAAUGCGUAGAGAUCGGGAGGAACACCUGUGGCGAAGGCGGCCGGCUGGGGGUGCCCUGACGCUGAUGCGCGAAAGCUAGGGGAGCGAACUGG